UGGUGAGAAGCAGGGAAAUCCAGCG
Molecule: non-coding RNA, 25 nt
Filed under: Rattus norvegicus (Norway rat)
Lineage: Eukaryota; Metazoa; Chordata; Mammalia; Rodentia; Muridae
Source: RNAcentral